This 465-nucleotide ribosomal RNA is filed under the name uncultured bacterium. Its description in RNAcentral is "partial 16S ribosomal RNA". It matches the Rfam family "Bacterial small subunit ribosomal RNA", at positions 28 to 507 of the family's 1533-position model. The record is from RNAcentral.
GACGAACGCUGGCGGCGUGCUUAACACAUGCAAGUCGAGCGAGGCCCCUCCUUCGGGAGGGUGUCCUAGCGGCGAACGGGUGAGUAACACGUGGGCAACCUGCCCUCAGCUCUGGGAUAACUCCGGGAAACCGGGGCUAAUACCGGAUACGACCUCCACGGGCAUCUGCGGAGGUGGAAAGUUUUUCGGCUGAGGAUGGGCCCGCGGCCUAUCAGCUAGUUGGUGGGGUAGUGGCCCACCAAGGCGACGACGGGUAGCCGGCCUGAGAGGGCGACCGGCCACACUGGGACCGAGACACGGCCCAGACUCCUACGGGAGGCAGCAGUGGGGAAUAUUGCGCAAUGGGCGAAAGCCUGACGCAGCGACGCCGCGUGAGGGACGAAGGCCUUCGGGUUGUAAACCUCUUUCAGCAGGGACGAAGCGAAAGUGACGGUACCUGCAGAAGAAGCACCGGCCAACUACGUG